UACGAAGGGGGCUAGCGUUGCUCGGAAUCACUGGGCGUAAAGGGCGCGUAGGCGGACUUUUAAGUCAGGGGUGAAAUCCUGGAGCUCAACUCCAGAACUGCCUUUGAUACUGAGGAUCUUGAGUAUGGGAGAGGUGAGUGGAACUGCGAGUGUAGAGGUGAAAUUCGUAGAUAUUCGCAAGAACACCAGUGGCGAAGGCGGUUCACUGGCCCAUUACUGACGCUGAGGCACGAAAGCGUGGGGAGCAAACAGGG
RNAcentral lists this ribosomal RNA (254 nucleotides) under uncultured bacterium. RNAcentral describes it as "partial 16S ribosomal RNA". It matches the Rfam family "Bacterial small subunit ribosomal RNA", at positions 524 to 777 of the family's 1533-position model. The record is from RNAcentral.